RNAcentral lists this ribosomal RNA (228 nucleotides) under uncultured bacterium. RNAcentral's name for it is "partial 16S ribosomal RNA". It matches the Rfam family "Bacterial small subunit ribosomal RNA", at positions 103 to 334 of the family's 1533-position model. The record is from RNAcentral.
CGGGUGAGUAAUACAUCGGAACGUGUCUUCUAGUGGGGGAUAACUGCCCGAAAGGGCAGCUAAUACCGCAUGAGACCUGAGGGUGAAAGCGGGGGAUCGCAAGACCUCGCGCUGGAGGAGCGGCCGAUGUCCGAUUAGCUAGUUGGUGAGGUAAAGGCUCACCAAGGCGACGAUCGGUAGCUGGUCUGAGAGGACGACCAGCCACACUGGGACUGAGACACGGCCCAG